CGCCUCUUGUAUAAAUAAAAAUAAGAGGUCCCGCCUGCCCUGUGACCAUGUGUUUAACGGCCGCGGUAUUUUGACCGUGCAAAGGUAGCGCAAUCACUUGUCUUUUAAAUGAAGACCUGUAUGAAUGGCAUAACGAGGGCUUAACUGUCUCCUUUCUCCAGUCAAUGAAAUUGAUCUCCCCGUGCAGAAGCGGGGAUACCCCCAUAAGACGAGAAGACCCUAUGGAGCUUUAGACACAAAAUAGACCACGUUAAUCACCCUCCUAUAAAAGAUAAAACUAAUUGGACCCUAUUUACAUGUCUUUGGUUGGGGCGACCGCGGGGAAACAAAAAACCCCCAUGUGGAUCAAGAGCACAAGACUCCUAAAACUAAGAGCCACAGCUCUAAGCAACAGAACUUCUGACCAUUAAGAUCCGGCUAUGCGCCGAUCAACGGACCGAGUUACCCUAGGGAUAACAGCGCAAUCCCCUUCUAGAGCCCAUAUCGACAAGGGGGUUUACGACCUCGAUGUUGGAUCAGGACAUCCUAAUGGUGCAGCCGCUAUUAAGGGUUCGUUUGUUCAACGAUUAAAGUCCU
RNAcentral lists this ribosomal RNA (576 nucleotides) under Paratilapia polleni (Pollen's cichlid). Its description in RNAcentral is "partial 16S ribosomal RNA". It matches the Rfam family "Bacterial large subunit ribosomal RNA", at positions 1816 to 2597 of the family's 2925-position model. The record is from RNAcentral. Lineage: Eukaryota; Metazoa; Chordata; Actinopteri; Cichliformes; Cichlidae.